This 23-nucleotide non-coding RNA is filed under the name Cricetulus griseus (Chinese hamster). Lineage: Eukaryota; Metazoa; Chordata; Mammalia; Rodentia; Cricetidae. The record is from RNAcentral.
GCCAAGAGUAAACGGUGUGUAGA